UCGAACGAGAACGGGUCUUAGCUUGCUAAGAUUGUCAGCUAAGUGGCGCAAGGGAGAGUAAUAUAUAGUUAACCUGCCCUAGAGAGAGGGAUAACGUUUGGAAACGGACGCUAACACCUCAUAUGCCUUUAAGACAAAAGUCUGCAAGGGAAACAUUUAUGGCUCUAGGAUGGGACUGUACGGUAUCAGUUAGUUGGUGAGGUAAUGGCUCACCAAGACAAUGACACCUAACUGGUUUGAGAGGAUGAUCAGUCACACUGGAACUGAGACACGGUCCAGACUCCUACGGGAGGCAGCAGUGGGGAAUAUUGCACAAUGGACGAAAGUCUGAUGCAGCAACGCCGCGUGGAGGAUGACACAUUUCGGUGCGUAAACUCCUUUUAUAUAGGAAGAUAAUGACGGUACUAUAUGAAUAAGCACCGGCUAACUCCGUGCCAGCAGCCGCGGUAAUACGGAGGGUGCAAGCGUUACUCGGAAUCACUGGGCGUAAAGAGAAUGUAGGCGGGUAAUUAAGUCAGAAGUGAAAUCCAAUAGCCCUACUAUUGAACUGCUUUUGAAACUGAUAACCUAGAAUAUGGGAGAGGUAGAUGGAAUUUCUGGUGUAGGGGUAUAAUCCAUAGAGAUCAGAAGGAAUACCGAUUGCGAAGGCGAUCUACUGGAACAUUAUUGACGCUGAAUUCGAAAGCGUG
RNAcentral lists this ribosomal RNA (689 nucleotides) under uncultured Arcobacter sp. RNAcentral describes it as "bacterial SSU rRNA". It matches the Rfam family "Bacterial small subunit ribosomal RNA", at positions 62 to 763 of the family's 1533-position model. The record is from RNAcentral. Lineage: Bacteria; Pseudomonadati; Campylobacterota; Epsilonproteobacteria; Campylobacterales; Arcobacteraceae.